GAUGAACGCUGGCGGCGUGCCUAAUACAUGCAAGUCGAGCGAACAGACGAGGAGCUUGCUCCUCUGACGUUAGCGGCGGACGGGUGAGUAACACGUGGAUAACCUACCUAUAAGACUGGGAUAACUUCGGGAAACCGGAGCUAAUACCGGAUAAUAUAUUGAACCGCAUGGUUCAAUAGUGAAAGACGGUUUUGCUGUCACUUAUAGAUGGAUCCGCGCCGCAUUAGCUAGUUGGUAAGGUAACGGCUUACCAAGGCAACGAUGCGUAGCCGACCUGAGAGGGUGAUCGGCCACCCUGGAACUGAGAACCGGUCCAGACUCCUACGGGAGGCAGCAGUAGGGAAUCUUCCGCAAUGGGCGAAAGCCUGACGGAGCAACGCCGCGUGAGUGAUGAAGGUCUUCGGAUCGUAAAACUCUGUUAUUAUGGAAGAACAAAUGUGUAAGUAACUAUGCACGUCUUGACGGUACCUAAUCAGAAAGCCACGGCUAACUACGUG
Molecule: ribosomal RNA, 497 nt
Filed under: uncultured bacterium
Lineage: Bacteria
Description: partial 16S ribosomal RNA
Rfam family: Bacterial small subunit ribosomal RNA
Source: RNAcentral